This 72-nucleotide transfer RNA is filed under the name Danio rerio (zebrafish). It matches the Rfam family "tRNA". From Rfam's summary of the family: Transfer RNA (tRNA) molecules are approximately 80 nucleotides in length. Lineage: Eukaryota; Metazoa; Chordata; Actinopteri; Cypriniformes; Danionidae. The record is from Rfam by way of RNAcentral.
GGCUUGUUGGUCUAGGGGUAUAAAUCUCGCUUCGGGUGUGAGAGGUCCCGGGUUCAAAUCCCAGACGAGCCC